This 1320-nucleotide ribosomal RNA is filed under the name Celoporthe dispersa. Its description in RNAcentral is "eukaryotic LSU rRNA". It matches the Rfam family "Eukaryotic large subunit ribosomal RNA", at positions 67 to 1416 of the family's 3401-position model. The record is from RNAcentral. Lineage: Eukaryota; Fungi; Ascomycota; Sordariomycetes; Diaporthales; Cryphonectriaceae.
AACAGGGAUUGCCCUAGUAACGGCGAGUGAAGCGGCAACAGCUCAAAUUUGAAAUCUGGCCUCGGCCCGAGUUGUAAUUUGCAGAGGAUGUUUCUGGCGCGGUGCCUUCCGAGUUCCCUGGAACGGGACGCCACAGAGGGUGAGAGCCCCGUAUGGUUGGACACCAAGCCUGUGUGAAACUCCUUCGACGAGUCGAGUAGUUUGGGAAUGCUGCUCAAAAUGGGAGGUAAAUCUCUUCUAAGGCUAAAUACCGGCCAGAGACCGAUAGCGCACAAGUAGAGUGAUCGAAAGAUGAAAAGCACCUUGAAAAGGGGGUUAAACAGUACGUGAAAUUGUUGAAAGGGAAGCGCUUGUGACCAGACUUGCGCCGGGCGGUUCAUCCGGGGUUCUCCCCGGUGCACUCCGCCCGGCUCAGGCCAGCAUCGGUUCUCGUUGGGGGAUAAGAACGACAGGAACGUGGCCCUCCUUCGGGUGGGUGUUAUAGCCUGUCGUACGAUACCCUGACGGGGACCGAGGUUCGCGCUCCGCAAGGAUGCUGGCGUAAUGGUCAUCAGCGACCCGUCUUGAAACACGGACCAAGGAGUCGUCCAUUAGAGCGAGCGUUUGGGUGUCAAACCCGCACGCGUAAUGAAAGUGAAAUUAGGUGAGAGCUUCGGCGCAUCAUCGACCGAUCCUGAUGUUCUCGGAUGGAUUUGAGUAAGAGUUUUAACGGACGGACCCGAAAGACAGUGAACUAUGCUUGUAUAGGGUGAAGCCAGAGGAAACUCUGGUGGAGGCUCGCAGCGGUUCUGACGUGCAAAUCGAUCGUCAAAUAUGAGCAUGGGGGCGAAAGACUAAUCGAACUGUCUAGUAGCUGGUUACCGCCGAAGUUUCCCUCAGGAUAGCAGUGUUGACCUUCAGUUUUAUGAGGUAAAGCGAAUGAUUAGGGACUCGGGGGCGCUUUUUAGCCUUCAUCCAUUCUCAAACUUUAAAUAUGUAAGAAGCCCUUGUUACUUAGUUGAACGUGGGCAUUCGAAUGUAUCAACACUAGUGGGCCAUUUUUGGUAAGCAGAACUGGCGAUGCGGGAUGAACCGAACGCGGGGUUAAGGCGCCAGAGUGUACGCUCAUCAGACACCACAAAAGGCGUUAGUACAUCUUGACAGCAGGACGGUGGCCAUGGAAGUCGGAAUCCGCUAAGGACUGUGUAACAACUCACCUGCCGAAUGUACUAGCCCUGAAAAUGGAUGGCGCUCAAGCGUACCGCCCAUACCCCGCCCUCAGGGUAGAAACGAUGCCCUGAGGAGUAGGCGGCCGUGGAGGUCAGUGACGAAGCCUAGGGC